Molecule: ribosomal RNA, 1392 nt
Filed under: uncultured bacterium
Lineage: Bacteria
Description: 16S ribosomal RNA
Rfam family: Bacterial small subunit ribosomal RNA
Source: RNAcentral
AGAGUUUGAUCCUGGCUCAGGCAUGAACGCUGUGCGGCGUGCUUAACACAUGCAAGUCGAACGAAGCACUUAAAUGGAUUUCCUUCGGGGAUGAAGCUUUUGUGACUGAGUGGCGGACGGGUGAGUAACGCGUGGGUAACCUGCCUCAUACAGGGGGAUAACAGUUGGAAACGACUGCUAAUACCGCAUAAGCGCACAACUUCGCAUGAAGUGGUGUGAAAAACUCCGGUGGUAUGAGAUGGACCCGCGUUGGAUUAGCUAGUUGGCGGGGCAACGGCCCACCAAGGCGACGAUCCAUAGCCGACCUGAGAGGGUGACCGGCCACAUUGGGACUGAGACACGGCCCAAACUCCUACGGGAGGCAGCAGUGGGGAAUAUUGCACAAUGGGCGAAAGCCUGAUGCAGCGACGCCGCGUGAACGAAGAAGUAUUUCGGUAUGUAAAGUUCUAUCAGCAGGGAAGAAGAAUGACGGUACCUGACUAAGAAGCACCGGCUAAAUACGUGCCAGCAGCCGCGGUAAUACGUAUGGUGCAAGCGUUAUCCGGAUUUACUGGGUGUAAAGGGAGCGCAGGCGGCGCGGCAAGUCUGAUGUGAAAGCCCGGGGCUCAACCCCGGUACUGCAUUGGAAACUGUCGUGCUAAAGUGUCGGAGGGUAAGCGGAAUCCUAGUGUACCGGUGAAAUGCGUAGAUAUUAGGUGGAACACCAGUGCCGAAGGCGGCUUACUGGACGAUACUGACCGUGAGGCUCGAAAGCGUGGGAGCAAACAGGAUUAGAUACUUUGGUAGUCCACGCCGUAAACGAUGAAUAGUAGGUGAUGGGGAACAUGGUUCUUCGGUGCCGUCGCAAACGCAGUAAGUAUUCCACCUGGGGAGUACGUUCGCAAGAAUGAAACUCAAAGGAAUUGACGGGGACCCGCACAAGCGGUGGAGCAUGUGGUUUAAUUCGAAGCAACGCGAAGAACCUUACCAAGUCUUGACAUCUCGAUGACCGUUCUUUAACAGGAAAUUUUGUUCGGAACAUCGGUGACAGAUGGUGCAUGGUUGUCGUCAGCUCGUGUCGUGAGAUGUUGGCUUAAGUCCCGCAACGAGUGCAACCCUUAUCUUUAGUAGCCAGCAUUUCGGAUGGGCACUGUAGAGAGACUGACAGGGAUAACCUGGAGGAAGGCGGGGAAGACGUCAAAUCAUCAUGCCCCUUAUGAAUUGGGAUACACACGUGAUACAAUGGUGUCAACAAAGGGAGGCAGAGCUGUGAGGCCGAGCAAAUGUCAAAAAAAACGUCUCACAUCGGAUUGUAGUUCGCUAAUCGAAUACAUAAAGCUGGAAUCGAUAGUAAUCGCAAAUCAGAAUGAUGCGGAGAAUACGUUCACCGGGUCCUGUACACGCCGCCAGUCA